GGAGGAUCAUUAUCGUAGGGCUUCGGCCCUGUCGAGAUAGAACCCUUGCCUUUUUGAGUACCUUUCGUUUCCUCGGCAGGCUCGCCUGCCAAUGGGGACCACAAAAAACACUUUGCAGUACCUGUAAUAGUCUGAACAAACAAACAAAAAUUAAAACUUUCAACAACGGAUCUCUUGGUUCUGGCAUCGAUGAAGAACGCAGCGAAAUGCGAUAAGUAGUGUGAAUUGCAGAAUUCAGUGAAUCAUCGAAUCUUUGAACGCACAUUGCGCCCUUUGGUAUUCCUUAGGGCAUGCCUGUUCGAGCGUCAUUUAAACCUUCAAGCUAAGCUUGGUGUUGGGUGACUGUCCGCUUCACUGCGGGCUCGCCUCAAAAUUAUUGGCGGCCGGUACAUUGGCUUCGAGCGCAGCAGAAACGCGAACUCGGGCCCGUCGUAUUGGCUCCCAGAAGCUAUCUUCACAAUUUUGACCUCGGAUCAGGUAGGGAUACCCGCUGAACUUAAGCAUAUCAAUAAGCGGAGGA
Molecule: ribosomal RNA, 520 nt
Filed under: uncultured Pleosporales
Lineage: Eukaryota; Fungi; Ascomycota; Dothideomycetes; Pleosporales
Description: eukaryotic LSU rRNA
Rfam family: 5.8S ribosomal RNA (bases 155-308)
Source: RNAcentral